GACGAACCGUGCGAACGUUGUUCGGAAUCACUGGGCUUAAAGGGCGCGUAGGCGGUCUGCCAAGUCGGUGGUGAAAUCUUUCGGCUUAACCGGAAAAGUGCCAACGAUACUGGCGGACUUGAGGGAGGUAGGGGCAGAUGGAACUUCCGGUGGAGCGGUGAAAUGUGUUGAUAUCGGAAGGAACGCCGGUGGCGAAAGCGAUCUGCUGGACCUCUACUGACGCUGAGGCGCGAAAGCCAGGGGAGCAAACGGGAUUAGAAACCCCAGUAGUCC
Molecule: ribosomal RNA, 273 nt
Filed under: uncultured bacterium
Lineage: Bacteria
Description: partial 16S ribosomal RNA
Rfam family: Bacterial small subunit ribosomal RNA
Source: RNAcentral